AGCAUUGUGGACUGGAAGCUGCAGUUUUACGAGAUCCUAUCUACAACGAGAGAUGAAAGAAAUCUUGCAAGGGUACCUGGGUGUUCCUAUUGCAAAUGCUGUGCGUGGAGCUCGCAAAUAAAGGACAAGGAAAAGAAAAGGUAGCAGAGGAGAUUAACCGAGUGUUCUUCUUGGUGUCCUUAAAGAAUACUCUUUGGGGAUGUACUAAUGGACAAAGCUAAAGAUCCAAAGAAAGGGAACUUGAUCCAUUUGAAAGAGAAUAGAAGGCUAAAGGAAGUAAAUGUAAAAAUAUGCUGGUACUCACUCAAAAAGUGCUGACUUCCUCCUGUAGGUCAUCUCACCGGCCCACCUUUUACCACAAAGAGCAUAAUUAAAAAGUGCUGAUGUUCUCUGUUGGCAAGGCUUCUCUUUUCAACUCUUGUUUUAGACUAAAUAACAAGACAGAGUAAGUUAUAUGCAAGAUUGUGAGUUUGUAUCUUACAGACUGUCUUAAAAUUAAAAGGUUUCUACAAUUCCGCAAAAUCACAACCAAAGUAGUCCUAAUCUAUUAGCAAUUAAUUAACUUUGAAAUUGUGUUUUAUAUCGCAAGGCUUUGAACAAAAAAUCACAUGAUGUAGCUGUAAUUAACUGCUACAAGUACUUGCAGAAUGCAUGUGAAAGAACGAGAUGAUACCCACUUG
This 680-nucleotide long non-coding RNA is filed under the name Phasianus colchicus (ring-necked pheasant). RNAcentral describes it as "lncRNA (ENSPCLG00000001862.1)". The record is from RNAcentral. Lineage: Eukaryota; Metazoa; Chordata; Aves; Galliformes; Phasianidae.